UAAACCUCAUCUCCAAGAUGUUACAGUCUUGGUGGUGGAUUUGGAUGCUGCCGUAAUUGGCUCAUCCUGAAAUACAUUAGCUUGCGCUUUUUAGAGUGCUUGGCAUGGUGUGAUAACUAUCUGCGCCGUCGCCUUAGGCCUCUUCUAUGUGUGCUGCUUACAGUCGUCCUUCAAGGACAAUAACUUAAGCU
This 191-nucleotide unclassified non-coding RNA is filed under the name uncultured Auriculariales. RNAcentral's name for it is "sequence contains ITS2". The record is from RNAcentral. Lineage: Eukaryota; Fungi; Basidiomycota; Agaricomycetes; Auriculariales.